ACGGGUGAGUAACGCGUGGGAACAUACCCUUUGGUUCGGAAUAACUCAGGGAAACUUGUGCUAAUACCGGAUACGUCCAGGGUCAAACCUGGAGAAAGAUUAAUCGCCGGAGGAUUGGCCCGCGUCUGAUUAGCUUGUUGGUGAGGUAAUGGCUCACCAAGGCGACGAUCAGUAGCUGGUCUGAGAGGAUGAUCAGCCACAUUGGGACUGAGACACGGCCCAA
Molecule: ribosomal RNA, 223 nt
Filed under: uncultured bacterium
Lineage: Bacteria
Description: partial 16S ribosomal RNA
Rfam family: Bacterial small subunit ribosomal RNA
Source: RNAcentral